RNAcentral lists this ribosomal RNA (197 nucleotides) under uncultured fungus. RNAcentral's name for it is "partial 18S ribosomal RNA". It matches the Rfam family "Eukaryotic small subunit ribosomal RNA", at positions 690 to 887 of the family's 1831-position model. The record is from RNAcentral. Lineage: Eukaryota; Fungi.
CUGAUCCCUCCCUCUUGACGAACUGUGAUGCCAUUAAUUUGGUGUCGCAGGGAAUCAGGACUGUUACUUUGAAAAAAUUAGAGUGUUUAAAGCAGGCUUUCGCUUGAAUACAUUAGCAUGGAAUAAUGAAAUAGGACGUUUGAUCCUAUUUUGUUGGUUUCUAGGAUUGACGUAAUGAUUAAUAGGGAUAGUUGGGA